AACGAACGCUGGCGGCAUGCCUAACACAUGCAAGUCGAACGAGACCUUCGGGUCUAGUGGCGCACGGGUGCGUAACGCGUGGGAACCUGCCCUUAGGUUCGGAAUAACUCCCCGAAAGGGGUGCUAAUACCGGAUAAUGUCUUCGGACCAAAGAUUUAUCGCCUUUGGAUGGGCCCGCGUUGGAUUAGCUAGUUGGUAGGGUAAAAGCCUACCAAGGCGACGAUCCAUAGCUGGUCUGAGAGGAUGAUCAGCCACACUGGGACUGAGACACGGCCCAGACUCCUCCGGAGGGCAGCAGGGGGGAAUAUUGGACAAUGGGCGAAAGCCUGAUCCAGCAAUGCCGCUUGAGUGAUGAAGGCCUUGGGUUGUAAAGCUCUUUUACCCGGGAUGAUAAUGACAGUACCGGGAGAAUAAGCGCCGGCUAACUCCGUG
RNAcentral lists this ribosomal RNA (432 nucleotides) under uncultured bacterium. RNAcentral describes it as "partial 16S ribosomal RNA". It matches the Rfam family "Bacterial small subunit ribosomal RNA", at positions 29 to 507 of the family's 1533-position model. The record is from RNAcentral.